Molecule: transfer RNA, 64 nt
Organism: Cavia porcellus (domestic guinea pig)
Lineage: Eukaryota; Metazoa; Chordata; Mammalia; Rodentia; Caviidae
Rfam family: tRNA
About the family: Transfer RNA (tRNA) molecules are approximately 80 nucleotides in length.
Source: Rfam
GGGGAUUUAGCUUAGUAGCAUAAGUGCCUGCCUUGCAAGCAGGCAGUCAUGAGCUUGAUCCCUG